UGGUCGAAAUCCCCAGUCAACUCGUCGAGACCCAGUUAAAACAAGUAAAUAGCUUUACAUAUUACUGGUGCGUCGUUUACAGAACGACUCGGCCAGCGAUUACCUGGGGAUUACCGGCGGUUGGUCCACAUUACUUGGACUGUGUUUGGCCAGUCUUCACGUGUCACACAUAAUAUCGUGGGAUAGAUCAAGUAACCAUGCACUAAAAAUCGCUGCGCGCGUCGGCAGUCGGGACCGAGUCGCUUUGUCGGCAUGCUGGGCCAGGACCUGUCAGUGACGAGGCUCGUCCGCAACGCAAGCCACCAUGACACCGCUUCUUGACUGGGGGGUAGCGGAUCCAGGUGCCGGGUGUACAGGGAUAGUGAGGGAGGUUCGGCUAGCAGCACGCAAUGUGCAUACGGUAGUGUCAGGUACCGUAGUAACGAAGUGUCCCGUGAACCCGAACAGGUUGUAUGUACAGGAGAGCAUUCAUGUACAAUAGUUUGCGACGAUGCACCCUUGAACAGGCGCCCGGACACGUGGAGGUGUGUGUGGGUGGAGAGGGUCGCUGGCUCCAUGGACCUGCAUGGACUGGGCUGGAGGCUGAGCUGUAAAGGAUGUCCGGAUAUGGCCACGCUUCCGUGUCUGUUCCGUGCUUGCUUUGGAAAUGUCUACAGCUGAGAACCAGAUCAUUGGCCCUGUGCGUCCGGACGCUAAGGGACGUCGGGGCGUGCCGUGGGGGAACUCGAAAGGCCUGCUGUGACGGCCUUCAAUAUGUCGUAUUGAUGGAAUUUUACAGACACCGCAAUGAUAUUGCAACUAGCAACUUGAUGGCGUUUAGAGGAUGGACACCUGAGGAGUGACCACCCGAUGACGAACGCGUCGGCACCGGUCGGCAAUGGGACAAAAGGCCCGUUCUAGACCGCUCGCUUACUACAUCAACACCGCACCCGCACAACCACCACUAAGAGCAUACGCGCUAACUAGCUUUCACUAACUUACUCGCUUGCUCAACCUAAUCCAACCUGAUUCGUUCAGGCCUCGCUCCCCAGGCGCAAUGGUACUGUGAUUGAUCAUCUGCCUCGUCGAGAACGUCGCACGAGGUGUCACAAACAUGUUCCGCUCAUGCGGCGGCGACAAGAAGCCUGUGGAAGGACCUGUGUUUGGCUAUUCAUGCGCCUACGCGCCACCAAAACAAAAACAGGCGCAGCCAUACAACGCUAACAAGACUGGCUAUAUUGACUACAGCUCGCAGAAGCAGUAGCCAGCGGGCGUACACGCGUGUGUGACCAAGGUGCGCAGUGGUGCUGCACAGGGGUGCUGCAGGCAGGUGACUGGGCGUGGACGGUCUGUUCGGUACGGUCCGGGGUCGCUUACCCUGGGGCUUGCUGUGCAUGACGAGUGGUCCUCAAAUUGAUGUUGACAAACCCCACGCCUUCUGGCUUCGUGCAUGCAACGCAGGUCAACAACCUCUAUCCCAGCGCUCUACACCCAUGACUCCGGAGUUCUUUCCCCGCCACCUUAAUCGGAUGCUGCUGGCGAGUUCUGGAUGAUAACAACAGCGAAGAUGAGUGUUGAAGGCAUAUGGUCGUUUGGCACGCCUGGGACAAGGCCCUGGCAGCUGGCGUCAAAGGUGCAGGUGUACGAUACCGAUGCGAGAGAGGAGCUACUACGCAUGUUAAUAUAUUCAUCGGUUUUGAUGUGAUGCCGAAUCGCCUGAACAGAUAUGAUUGCAGAAUGUGAGUGUGACAAUGCCCAAGUGCUAGGCGGAUCAUCACAUGAGCGCUCCCUAAGCCGCCACACAUAGGGGUGCGUGAUGAGGGCCAUGCACCGCUUGUAAAGCGCGCAGCGUUGCUGUGCGUGGUGCAGGAUGCGCAUGUGCAUGUAACAGCAGGCAACGCUCGGGUCGGUUGCCGAUUGUAUGGUUCUACGCCGUGGGUGUAUGGUGUGGCAUGUUACCAUGCUGCAGCAACCCUGUGCCACAGCCAGCCGUCAGCCACGCAGGGAUGCGCUCUGGGCGUAGGCCCAGCCAGCGCUCAGCCCAGCCGUGCAUGGCAGUGCUGAGCUCCUGUUCAGGGGCGCGAUACGGUAUGCGCUCCGUGCUCCUUACUUGUACCCAUGUUCGGCGUGCCUGAACCUGUUGGCUCUCUCUCCCGCAGCUUAGUAUCC
RNAcentral lists this long non-coding RNA (2148 nucleotides) under Chlamydomonas reinhardtii. Its description in RNAcentral is "long non-coding RNA (CREI_LNC001064)". Lineage: Eukaryota; Viridiplantae; Chlorophyta; Chlorophyceae; Chlamydomonadales; Chlamydomonadaceae. The record is from RNAcentral.